Molecule: long non-coding RNA, 1070 nt
Filed under: Homo sapiens (human)
Lineage: Eukaryota; Metazoa; Chordata; Mammalia; Primates; Hominidae
Description: non-protein coding lnc-SLC39A10-12:1
Source: RNAcentral
AACUAAGCAUUGAGCACACAUGGAUGUAAAUAUGGAAACAAGACUGAUAUUCUAGAUUAACCUUUAUCUUGCAUUAACUAAAAAACUUCUAUGUUCUUCCAUGCAGAAAUACACACAAUCCAUUAUUUUAUUCAAAAUUAACUAUCAAUUGAGUAUUUGCUGUUUUCUUUGUUUGCCAUCCCAACCCAGGACUACUUUAAAUGUUUGUACAAUUUAAUUCUCACUAAGUGAUUAUUACUUGGUUUAAGCUAUUAUCUGUUCCUGUUAAAUUCCUAAUGGCUAGUGAUUAUAUCAUUACUUCCAACCACAAGUAUAUGUGUAUACAUUAGCCUCUGAUCUAGUGGUCAAGGUAGACUGAAAUUCUGCCAUUAUUUUUAACCAUUUGUUCUUUUGACUAUCAUUCUAUCCAUUCCAAGCCAAAUGGAUUAUUGAAUCUUUCUUAUUUGAGUAUCUCAAAUACAGUUGUUAUUUCUUGAUAAUGGUGUUGAAUUAUGAGCACAAAGUUAUUUUUAAAUCUAAAUAAAAAAAAGAGAGAAGGCCCAAAUAAACAAAAUCACAGAUGAAAAAGGAGACAUUACAUGCAGUACUACAGAAAUACAAAGAAUCAUUGGAGAAUACUAUACGCAACUAUACAUCAACAAAUAAGAAAACCCGGAAGAAAGGAAUAAAUUCCUGAACACACACAACCUACCAAGACUGAACCAAGAAGAAAGAGAAAGUCUAAACAGGCCCAAUAAUGGGAAACAGAUUAUGCCGGAUUAUCAGGCUGGAACCAAUAUAACCAAAAGGGUUCUUAUAUGCGGGAUAGAAGAGGGGCAGACUCAGAGUAGAUGUGACAAAGGAAGAAAGGUUAGAAUAAUUCAAGGAAGAGACAUGAGUCACAGAAUGCAGACAACCUUUUCACAUUGGAAAAGGAAAUACAAUGGAUUUUUUAACAGAGCCUCCAGAAGGAGAGCAGUCCAGCAAACAUAUUUUCAUUAUUCUAACUUCCAGAAAUGUAAAAUAAUAAAUUACUGUUACUUUAAGCUACAAAAUUUAUGGUAAUUGGUUAUAGCAGCAAUAGGAAACUA